Molecule: ribosomal RNA, 484 nt
Filed under: uncultured bacterium
Lineage: Bacteria
Description: partial 16S ribosomal RNA
Rfam family: Bacterial small subunit ribosomal RNA
Source: RNAcentral
GAUUAACGCUAGCGGCAGGCAUAAUACAUGCAAGUUGAACGGCAGCACAGGUAGCAAUACUGGGUGGCGAGUGGCGCACGGGUGCGUAACACGUAUGCAACCUACCCUAUACAGGCGAAUAACCUUUAGAAAUGAGGGCUAAUACGCCGUAGUAUUACAGAUGGGCAUCUAUUUGUAAUUAAAGAUUUAUCGGUAUAGGAUGGGCAUGCGUCCCAUUAGUUAGUUGGUAAGGUAACGGCUUACCAAGACGAUGAUGGGUAGGGGAUCUGAGAGGACUUACCCCCACACUGGUACUGAGACACGGACCAGACUCCUACGGGAGGCAGCAGUAAGGAAUAUUGGGCAAUGGCCGCGAGGCUGACCCAGCCAUGCCGCGUGCAGGAAGACGGCCUUAUGGGUUGUAAACUGCUUUUAUAUGGGAAUAAUAGAGUGUACGCGUACAUUUAUGCAAGUAUCGUAUGAAUAAGCAUCGGCUAACUCCGUG